AGUCAAGAAACUACUAAAAUUAUAAAUUUACUCAUGCUUCGACCUUCUGCAAAUCAAGAAAUUAAAAAACAAUUAUUUCAAUUCUUGAACAUCAUUUCACAUUUCAAAGUCAAAUUCACAGCAUGUGAUAUGGUACCACUCGAUCAAACACUUUUAGUCAAUAUUUGUUCCACAAUUACGGCUUACCUCGUAAUAAUAAUACUAAUUCGCAUAAAUUUAUCACCUUAUAUCAAUUAGACGACAACUAUUGAUUAACAUCAAACUCCAUCAAGUGAUUUUUUUUAGUUGUGAAGUCAGUAUUAAUACACUUCAAGUUUUCAAAGUGUGUAACUAUAAUUUUUGUCAAAUACCUAGCAUGCUAAUUAUUAUCAUUAAGUACUGAUGAGUUUCGAGUACGUAUUUAUUGAUUCACGGUUUAAAUAAAUGAAGAUAAGCAACUAUUUAAGAGAGGAAACUAGGUCUAAAUCGAUUAUAUUCCAACAGGUUUCAGAUGUUUUUUAUUGUGACCACUUAC
Cotesia glomerata is the source of this 514-nucleotide long non-coding RNA. RefSeq lists it as uncharacterized. Lineage: Eukaryota; Metazoa; Arthropoda; Insecta; Hymenoptera; Braconidae. The record is from RefSeq and is a predicted model, not a curated record. The transcript is spliced from 3 exons.